AUGAUUUUGGUGAUCAGAACCGUGUUUAUAGAGCUGCCCUCAGGAAAAGGGUCAGUGGAGAAGUUCCAGCUUUGUUCAGACCAGCUGAGUGUUGACAUCAUCUCCUGGGGCUACAGAAUCACUGCUCUGCUGGUCAAAGACAGGCAGGGGAAAGCUUCAGAUGUGGUUCUUGCCUUUGGCAAGUUGGUGGUUACCUCCAGAAGGAACCCGACUUUAGAGCAGUGGUUGGGAGUGUAGCCAACCAAAUUGCCAAAUUAAUAUUCACUGUAGGUGGGAAGGAGUACUACGUGCACAUUAACAGAGAGCCCAACAGUCUCCAUGGAGCAUUCACUCUGGACCCCUCAGGUGUUGUCCAAUGGCUUCCAGUUCUCUCAAGUUAGUCCAGAUGGUGAGGAAAGCUACCCUGGAGAGUUGAAAGUCUGGAUGACAUAUACCCUGGUUAGUGUAGAGCUUGUAAUCAACUACAGAGCACAGGCCAGCUUCAGUUUAACCUGACCAACCAUUCUUAUUUCAGCCUAGCAGGCCAGGGCUCCCCAAAUAUAUAUGACCAUUCUAGUAGGUGCAUAUUUGUCUGUGGAUGAAACUCUAAUUCCAAAAGGAGUCAUUGCUCCAGUGGAAGGAACUGUCUUCAACCUAAGAAAGCCAGUGAAGCUUGGAAAGUACCUGCAGGUUUACCACAUUCAUGGUUUUGACCAAAAUUUUUGUCUGAAGGAGUCAAAAGAAAAGAAAUUUUGUGCAAAGGUGCAUCACGCUGCAAGUGGGAGGAUCCUGGAAGUAUAUACCAACUAACCUGGCAUCCCGCUUUAGAUAGGAUACUUCUUGGGUGGUACUCUGAAAGGCAAGAAGCAAGCGGUCUAGCCCAAGCACUCCGAUUUCUGCCUUGAGACCCAGAACUGGCCUGAUGCUGUUAAUCAGCCCCAGUUCCCUCAGGUGCUGCUGAGGCCUGGAGAGGUGUGCAACCACACCUCCUGGUUCAAGUUCUCUGUUGCU
This 990-nucleotide long non-coding RNA is filed under the name Mus musculus (house mouse). RNAcentral describes it as "long non-coding RNA chrX:62006872-62007862". The record is from RNAcentral. Lineage: Eukaryota; Metazoa; Chordata; Mammalia; Rodentia; Muridae.